RNAcentral lists this long non-coding RNA (334 nucleotides) under Drosophila guanche. The record is from RNAcentral. Lineage: Eukaryota; Metazoa; Arthropoda; Insecta; Diptera; Drosophilidae.
CCGGCUAGCCAGUCAUCACGGGGCCACUAACCAAAUAGUAUAGGAGACUCUCAACUUCAUACAAGAGAAACGUCACCGCUCAAUGUGCGUCUCGGAGUCCCAGGCCUCUGCCAAAGUCCCAGCUACAAGUAUUAGUGCGUGUAAAACACUCAGCUAGAAGCACCAGCUACAUGUGUAUUAGGGCGUGUAGAGCACGUAGGUAGGAGCCCCAGCUACAUUUGUAUAAGUUCGUGUAGUCAAUGAUUUUUUAGCGCUCCAAACCGGUUUUGUCUUGAUUCACAUGGACACUGCAAGUAAUGUAUGUGUUGGUACGCUGACUUUGUGAAAUGCGCUG